ACUACAAUGGCCGGUACAACGGGAAGCGAAGCCGCGAGGUGGAGCCAAUCCCAUCAAAGCCGGUCUCAGUUCGGAUUGCAGGCUGCAACUCGCCUGCAUGAAGUCGGAAUUGCUAGUAAUCGCGGAUCAGCAUGCCGCGGUGAAUACGUUCCCGGGCCUUGUACACACCGCCCGUCACACCACGAGAGUUUACAACACCCGAAGUCGGUGGGGUAACCCGCAAGGGAGCCAGCCGCCGAAGGUGGGGUAGAUGAUUGGGGUGAAGUCGUAACAAGGUAGCCGUAUCGGAAGGUGCGGCUGGAUCACCUCCUUU
RNAcentral lists this ribosomal RNA (313 nucleotides) under Salmonella enterica subsp. enterica serovar Typhimurium. RNAcentral's name for it is "bacterial SSU rRNA". It matches the Rfam family "Bacterial small subunit ribosomal RNA", at positions 1224 to 1533 of the family's 1533-position model. The record is from RNAcentral. Lineage: Bacteria; Pseudomonadati; Pseudomonadota; Gammaproteobacteria; Enterobacterales; Enterobacteriaceae.